Molecule: long non-coding RNA, 3260 nt
Filed under: Homo sapiens (human)
Lineage: Eukaryota; Metazoa; Chordata; Mammalia; Primates; Hominidae
Description: MIR124-1 host gene
Source: RNAcentral
GAAUGGGGCUGGCUGAGCACCGUGGGUCGGCGAGGGCCCGCCAAGGAAGGAGCGACCGACCGAGCCAGGCGCCCUCCGCAGACCUCCGCGCAGCGGCCGCGGGCGCGAGGGGAGGGGUCUGGAGCUCCCUCCGGCUGCCUGUCCCGCACCGGAGCCCGUGGGGUGGGGAGGUGUGCAGCCUGUGACAGACAGGGGCUUAGAGAUGCAAACAGACUCAGGGAGAGAAACAGAAGCUGAUUCUGUGACAGAAGCAGAUCUGUGCAGCACAGAUGCGGUGUGCGUGGGGAGGGGGUCGCCUGGGAGCGCAUUGCGGAGUGCUUGUGUGUGCAGAUUUUUCUCUGGGCUCAGGACUCAUUGUAUGUGGGUCAACACCUUCCUCCGUGACUGUGUUUUUGUUCUGAGCUGAGUUUUUUGGUUUGCCCUUAAAAAAAUAAUAAUUUGGCAUCCAGAGACUGGCAGACUGCCUCAGGGCCUGGACUGCGGAUAUAUUGUGUUCUGCUUGAGGUUUGGGGAGGAGGGCAGGCGGUAGGAAGGGAGAGGGGGAGCUGUUUGUCACACUUUGCUGUAGAGCUGAGAGCACCUGACAAGCUUAAGGAAGUCGUUGGGCUAUGUGGACAAGAAGGAGCCAGCUCCCAGCGGGUUCACAAGCUCUAUCGGAGUUGAAAGCGUGGUCAUGGCUCUAAGGAGCACCUCACGCCCUCCCUGUAGCUGUUAUUGCAGUUUCAGGCAGAGAUCCAGGAGCUGCAGAGGAAGGGAGAGGCACAAUAACCUACAUGGACCCAAGGGAGACAUGUGUUCCUUUAAAAAUGUGAACAGAAGGAAAAACAGAAUGUGUGCAACUGGGGGUCUGAGGAAAGACUGUUUUGAAAGAGGCUGUCAGGGAAUGGAAAGGGUUAAGCUUUUCAUCCUGAAGAACCUGCUUCCCAAAUCAGGCCUUCCUCCCAUCACUAGACCCUGAGCAGCAGCUGGUCCUAGAGACCCCCCUCGUACUGCGCUGCCACAGUCUCAUCCCAUUUCCAGCUCUGUAUUAACCACCAAGCUGCAGCGGAUGGGGCAAGACCUAAGCUCAUUAAUUUCCAGGUGGAGGAAAUGGAGGAGGGGCAGGUCCCUGCAGUAGAGGGAGGAGCAGAGAAAGGAGGCCAAGAGCUGGAUCCUUCUGCCCAGGAAGCCUGCUGCAUCCCUUCCCCCGAGCAUGGCAGAGGCCUGGCUUUGCAAGGCCAAGGCCAUAAGGGAUGCUUAGGAGAUUAAUUUGAUUCCUGACACAAUAAUCAAGCCCUAAGAGUCUCCACUGAAGCUUACUGAGGACUUCUUUCCUCUCCAAAGCCUCAGUCUAGCCUGCUAAAUAAAUUAGUAUUCAGUGAUGCCUUGGAUCAGGGCCCCUCCCCGGCCUCAGUUUCCCCAAAUAUUUAUUAAGUACCUACUGUGUGCAAUCCUUGUGUAAUUAUUAACUCUUAGGCUCUUCAUUUGCCCUCCUAAAGCAGUGUUUAGAGUCAGGCAGAGGUUAAGUGUGUUGCACCUCACCUAGAUACUUCCAGAACCUUCUCUGGGUCUGCAGAAUGUGGCACAACCUGCUUGCCCCCGCAGAGAGAAAGCUGCAGUGCACAUCCUGCAGACUGCAGGUGCUGGGCUGCCUCUGGAGUCCCAGAAGGCAAGCUUGGCUGCAGGACAGAAAGGGAGAACAGCUUCUCUCACCCCUGAGCCUUCACAAGCCCUUGUCUAUUUGCCGUUGCCUUCAAAAUAUACCUCCCCCGAAACCAGUAGCUUUCUGAGUCCUGGUGUCCCCUCCGCCCUUUCUGGACAGGUUUGGGAAGAAGAAAGCAGUCAGUGCUGGGCCUUAUUGGGGUGUGAAGCGCCUUGCUCUGCCCCUUCUGCUCACUGUGAAGGCCGCUGGAUGCUUCUCUUAGGCAUGGUUUAAGCCUCCGAUUACUAAACCCCUUGCCCCACAAACGUCCACAUUGACGAGCCUCUUUUUAGUAACUGCUUCCCCGUAAUUCCUUCAGAGGUUGCUGUACCCUUCGCUGAUGUGCUGCCCUCCUGUAAAACCUCCAGAUGCCUUCCCACGUAAUGCCCCUUUCAGAUGCUUUAAGCUGAGAGCUUAAACCACAGGUACCAUGGCUGACGCCUGCCAGGUUUCUGCUGCAGAUAAUCUAUGAUGGGAGGGGCAUAUUUUUUACUUCAUUACUUAUGUAAACUCUUGUUCCAGAAAGCUUUAAUGUGUGUGGGAGUGUUCUGGGUCUAUUAGGUCUGUGCGCAUGGGUGUGGGCAUUUGCCUGUGUCCACCGGGUGGGUCUCAUUAUGAAAUGUAUGUUUAUGUAGGGCUUUAAUGGCUGAAAAUGGCAAAGAGAUGAAUAGACCACUUGGCCCCAUGUGUAAUUGCCAGGCCCCUUCUGUGCUCAAAUGAGGUGUCCGAGUGAAGGUCAGCCCUUCCCUUCUGUAUUUGGGGCCUAUUUAUGCCACCAGUAAUUUUAUAAGAAAUCUGAAUAGUUCUCCCCUUUGAGUGCAUUUAACUCUUUAGUAUCUUCUCUCUUACCUAUUUGAGCCCCUCUAGCUACAGUCUGGCUUAAAUGAAAGGGGAAUUAUAUGCUUAAGAAAAAGUAGGACACGGUUGAGGCAGUUUGCUGACUGAAUACGCGAAGAAGGACCUGAUGGGCUCAUAUGCACCACUGCCAUCACAGUCCCCAUCGUGAUGCAAGCUUAUAUGAUUCUUGAGGUAACUCUACCAGAUACUUCCAGAUUUAGAAAUGUGUCAAAGGAAAAAUUGGUGAUACUCUUCUUUCCCCUGCCAGAAACAGCCCAGAUCUCCUCUUAAGCGGAAAAGAGAUUGACCUUCUAGCAGAGGCAAAGAAUGGAGUCUUCUGGGGGCAGCUGCAAAGCGUUCUCCCUAGGACAGAUGGAGCCUCCCUUUCCUCAUCUACUCUGUGGGUGGUUUCAGGGCCCACGAGUCAACAUGAGGAGUUGUGCUGGUGGUAUGUGUGUUGGAGGCUGGGCUGGCUGAUUCACAGUGACGAGGAUGUCAAUAAUAACAAGAAUGAGAAUGAUGGUACCUAAUAAAGACUUUUUUUCCCAAGUCCCAUCUACAAUUCUUUCAUUGGGUGUUUUGCCAAGUCUUUCUCAAUCUCAUCUCAGCUUUUUUUUUUUUUUUAAAGAAAAUGUAUUCAAUACUUAAUUGCAUCACAAAUGUAGACAUAGAAGAAAGGACUUCAAACGGAAUUUAUGGGAGGCAAUGUGUGCGGCUUUUUGCCUUAUAGAGCUGUGUAGAA